Cyprinus carpio (common carp) is the source of this 1730-nucleotide long non-coding RNA. The record is from Ensembl. Lineage: Eukaryota; Metazoa; Chordata; Actinopteri; Cypriniformes; Cyprinidae.
UGUUGAUAUGGUCUUAUACAGUAUAUUGCCUUGCUAAUAACUUCAGUGAUUGAUCUUGGAGGUUAAGAGCAUUGUCUAAAGCCUUGAAUAUACUCGGGAGAAAACGCGGACAAGGACCGCUGCGAACAUGGACUACUUCUGUUCAUACUCCCUUCUGCAGUCAGCAUGGCGGACACGUUCCACAGAAGCACAGUAGAUCAGUUGGUGCCCUGGUAGCGCUAGUUGCCGUGUGGACCUGGCGCGGUCACAAAAAAGGAGAGCCACGUGGACCCUACGCGUAUCCCCUCUGAUGAAGAUUUUUUUGUCUUGCGUGUGCGGAAAAGUAUAAUCAUUGCAUAAGGGUGUACUCACACUAGGCCCGGAUGCCUUGUACUGUGCCUGAGCACGAUAGUCCCCACUGGCCUGUGCUCACACUGCUCCUAACAAUCCGAGCCGUAUGUUUACAUCAUACCAUAUAUUGAUUUGUUUGUGGCAGCCCGCUCAACCACUGAUAUAAUAAUACUAAUAAUAAUUAUUAUUAAAUUUAUAAUAACUGACUGUUUUUUUUUUCUCUCUAAUAUCAUUUUCAGAAUGGAAAGCAGAAAAAAAAGGAUCCAGAAAAGGCAGCUGAGACUUACAGAAGGGAUUUACUGCAACAAUCAGAAACAUACAGGAGUCUGAAAUAUGUAAUGGAUAUGCAUGAGAGCCCAGAGGAGAAAGAGCGUGCAGUUGUGGUUUUCUACAAGCAGAAUAACAUCAACUGGGCCAGUCCAUUUUGUGUGUUUUUGAAAGGUGAUCCCGCAGUGGGAGAUGGAGUGAACAGGUUCUUUUUCACAUUUGGGAUUUCAAAACUCCAGUCUGGAUUCAGUUUUGGCCUAGAUGACACCAACAAAAGUUUGCUCUUUGUUGGUGAGGAAGACCACCUGGUGCCUUCCACCUCUACUUUCCUGCUGGAAGGUGAUAUCUUUCAUGUUGCUGGACGGAUUAUUGGGCACUCCUUUUUAAAUGGGGGACCAAGGCUGACUGGAUUAAGCCAAGCCAUUUUGGACUUAAUUUCUGGAAAAGAAGACACAAACCAGCUUGCAACUCAAGACAGCCCAGACAUUGAUGUGAGGGAAGUUGUCACUCUGCUUACCGGCAAGGACCCCUUGAGCCCAGCUGAUAAACACAAUGUUGCCGAGAUGUGUGUGGCUUGGGAUCUGCCCACUGUUGUUAAUGACACCAACAGGAACUGGCUUGCAGAAAAGAUCCUUCACCAUUCUGUAAGUAACAUACUUUCUUAAGGUGCUUUCAGACCAAAAGUAAAGUGAGCUUUGGGGUUGGUGCGUUUACUGUUUUGCCUUUUGCCCCCCUUUUGCCUUCAAACUGCAUCAGUUUUUCUAGGUUCACUUGCACAAGGUUUUUGAAGGCUGACCUACUUUUGUCAACUACCCACUGUUCUUCUGUGGAUUUACGCUCUGUGGGGGCCAUACCAUCACUUCCAGGACCAGUGUUGGGGAAAGUUACUUUUAAAAGUAAUGCCUUACAAUAUUGCGUUACUCCCUAAAAAAGUAACUAAAUAUGCUACUUAGUUACUUUUUAUGGAAAGUAAUGUGUUACAUUACUUUUGCGUUACUUUCACGUUACUUUUUAAAUAUGAGCAGGGCUUGAUUGUUUUUAAUAUAAGAAGUUCUAUUUAUAGCAAAUGUAAAAGCCCUUUCACACCAAAAAGUGUAAUGAAUAAACCUCAGGCUGAAGGAAAAGUAAAUUCA